Termitomyces sp. Mi166#008 is the source of this 83-nucleotide non-coding RNA. Lineage: Eukaryota; Fungi; Basidiomycota; Agaricomycetes; Agaricales; Lyophyllaceae. The record is from the annotation of a GenBank genome assembly.
UCCCCCUUAGCUCAGUGGUAGAGUGCGUCACUAGUAACAUGUACAAAAUGACGAGGUCAGUCGUUCAAGUCGGCUAGGGGGAA